Molecule: transfer RNA, 72 nt
Filed under: Aphanothece sp. CMT-3BRIN-NPC111
Lineage: Bacteria; Bacillati; Cyanobacteriota; Cyanophyceae; Chroococcales; Aphanothecaceae
Also listed under: 4 other names
Description: tRNA-Thr
Rfam family: tRNA
About the family: Transfer RNA (tRNA) molecules are approximately 80 nucleotides in length. Their secondary structure includes four short double-helical elements and three loops (D, anti-codon, and T loops).
Source: RNAcentral
GCAGGUGUGGUGUCAAUGGCAACACAGCAGUCUUGUAAACUGCCUAUGCGAGUUCAAAUCUCGCCUCCUGCU